GGUUGAUCCUGCCAGUAGUCAUAUGCUUGUCCUAAAGAUUAAGCCAUGCAUGUCCAAGUAUAUACCUUUAUACGGUGAAACUGCGAAUGGCUCAUUAUAUCAGUUAUAAUUUACUUGAUGGAUUGUUUACUACUUGGAUAACCGUGGUAAUUCUAGAGCUAAUACAUGCAGGAGGGCCCGACUUUUGGAAGGGCAGUAUUUAUUAGAUAAAAACCGACUGCAGUGGAGACGCUGCAAGCUGGUGAGUCAUGAUAACUGGGCGGAUCGUAUGGCCGUGAGCCGACGACGCUUCA
This 293-nucleotide ribosomal RNA is filed under the name uncultured eukaryote. RNAcentral describes it as "partial 18S ribosomal RNA". It matches the Rfam family "Eukaryotic small subunit ribosomal RNA", at positions 6 to 297 of the family's 1831-position model. The record is from RNAcentral.